RNAcentral lists this ribosomal RNA (253 nucleotides) under uncultured bacterium. RNAcentral describes it as "partial 16S ribosomal RNA". It matches the Rfam family "Bacterial small subunit ribosomal RNA", at positions 524 to 776 of the family's 1533-position model. The record is from RNAcentral.
UACAGAGGUCCCAAGCGUUGUUCGGAUUCACUGGGCGUAAAGGGUGCGUAGGCGGGUCUUUAAGUCAGGGGUGAAAUCCUGGAGCUCAACUCCAGAACUGCCUUUGAUACUGAGGAUCUUGAGUUCGGGAGAGGUGAGUGGAACUGCGAGUGUAGAGGUGAAAUUCGUAGAUAUUCGCAAGAACACCAGUGGCGAAGGCGGCUCACUGGCCCGAUACUGACGCUGAGGAGCGAAAGCGUGGGGAGCGAACAGG